RNAcentral lists this ribosomal RNA (301 nucleotides) under uncultured bacterium. RNAcentral's name for it is "partial 16S ribosomal RNA". It matches the Rfam family "Bacterial small subunit ribosomal RNA", at positions 509 to 807 of the family's 1533-position model. The record is from RNAcentral.
CAGUCGCCACGGUAAUACGAGGGGGGCAAGCGUUGUUCGGAAUUAUUGGGCGUAAAGGGUGCGUAGGCGGUCUGAUAAGUCUUAUGUGAAAUCUAUGGGCUCAACCCAUAGUCUGCAUAGGAAACUGUCGGGCUUGAGAGUGGGAGAGGUGAGUGGAAUUUCCGGUGUAGCGGUGAAAUGCGUAGAUAUCGGAAGGAACACCUGUGGCGAAAGCGGCUCACUGGACCAUUUCUGACGCUGAUGCACGAAAGCUAGGGGAGCAAACAGGAUUAGAUACCCCCGUAGUCCCUGUCUCUUAUAC